RNAcentral lists this small RNA (17 nucleotides) under Arabidopsis thaliana (thale cress). RNAcentral describes it as "ATSL120760". Lineage: Eukaryota; Viridiplantae; Streptophyta; Magnoliopsida; Brassicales; Brassicaceae. The record is from RNAcentral.
CCGUCCCGACUGCUGAA